Molecule: non-coding RNA, 816 nt
Filed under: Pongo abelii (Sumatran orangutan)
Lineage: Eukaryota; Metazoa; Chordata; Mammalia; Primates; Hominidae
Source: RNAcentral
CGCUGUGCCACCGGACCCUGGUCUUUGAAACCUUGGCGUGCGCGAGAAUUUCCCAGUGAGUUUGUUAAAAUGCAGAUUCCUCGGGUCUGCGUCGACAGACUGUGCCCCCACGCUUUUCUAAGUCAGUUGUUUCUCGGGCUACCCUUUAAGAGACACUGCUGGAUGGCCUGGUGAAGAAAAUACAGAGAUAGGUGGAUAGAAGAACUAAGAAAACGGCUAAGAAAGUGUUUUGGUCCCACUACCAUUUCGCUCUGUGAUUUGGGGCAAUUCACAUUGGCUUCCCUGCCCUUUCUUCUUUGUCAAAAGACAAAAAUCACAACAAAUUUAAUUUAAAGAUUUUUUUUUCUUAAGAGACGGACUCUGGCAAUGUUGCCCAGGCUGGAACGCAGUGGCUAUUCACAGGUGCAAUCAUAGCAAUCAUGGCUAUCACAGGGGCAUCCUGGAACUCCUGGGCUCAAGUGAUCCUUCCGCCUCAGCCUCCGGAGUAGCUGGGACUUAAGGUAUGACAGAGCCAAAACUCCAAGUCAUGUCAGUAGGGCAUGACCAAUAGAAAAUGCUUUGACAUCUAACAACACCCAGAACCAAUGAUUCCUCCCUGUGGUACCAAGAAGACCUAGACAUGACCGGAACCUAAAUGCUGGAACUCUUUCAGGAGCAAAGGGUCUGUUGACCAGAAAGAUCCAGGGCUAAAAUCCACCUCAACAUACCCGUGUAGUCAAAUUUGACACCCUCCAAUCAGACCCUGCCAAGCCAAAAUUCCUAAUAUGUUUCCUUGCCCUCUGUAUUAGUCUGUUUUCAUGCUGCUGAUAAAGACAU